GAACCUUGGCCUGCCUCUCACCCUACUGGUAUCGGAUGAUUCCUGGCCUGCCUACAGUGACUAGAAAUCUGCCUGCCUCCUAUAUUCCUCCACAGUCAAGAAACUGAAAAAAGUUCUUACUUAAUCCCUACUUUGAACCUUGGCCUGCCUCUCACCCUACUGGUAUCGGAUGAUUCCUGGCCUGCCUACAGUGACUAGAAAUCUGCCUGCCUCCUAUAUUCCUCCACAGUCAAGAAACUGAAAAAAGUUCUUACUUAAUCCCUACUUUGAACCUUGGCCUGCCUCUCACCCUACUGGUAUCGGAUGAUUCCUGGCCUGCCUACAGUGACUAGAAAUCUGCCUGCCUCCUAUAUUCCUCCACAGUCAAGAAACUGAAAGUAGGUAGUGGGCUUGCAUAAGUGAUUCAUUAAGCCUCUACCAAGUCUACCUUCUGAGUCAAAUAGCUUGCCCGUGCUUGUGUGCCUAGCAGCCAGUAUCUCUCCUCCUCUGAUCCUCUACUACCACUCUACUCUCUCCUUUACACUAUUCUUCCUUUUCCUUGCAACCUUUCCCUGUCCUUUUUCUGCUUUUUCCUGCUCUCCCACUCCCACCUUUACACGAUUCCUCCUUUUCCUUGCAACCUUUCCCUGUCCUUUCUCUGCUAUUUCCUGCUCUCUCUCAUUUACCAGCCCUGGCCACUAGGUGGCGCUCUCCUCACUCUCUUUUUUAGUUGCUACUUCAUAUGCCUCUGACUAGCCUUUAAAGUUCUUGCUGGUUCUCCUAUUCUCCCUUAGCCUCUAUUUUCUACCUGACAGUCUGCCUAUUUCCUUGGAUAUAGUGCUAGUACUGCUCCAGUAUCUUGCCAGUCCUUCUCAGCUUACCCUCACCCAUUUCUUCCUUACCUCCUUCUGCAUCUCUCUGACCUUCUACUGCAUACCUUCUCCUUUACCACUGGUCUACCUGGGUUUCCUUUUUCCAUACAC
Long non-coding RNA from Protopterus annectens (West African lungfish), 962 nucleotides. RefSeq lists it as uncharacterized. The transcript has 3 exons. Lineage: Eukaryota; Metazoa; Chordata; Ceratodontiformes; Protopteridae. The record is from RefSeq and is a predicted model, not a curated record.